RNAcentral lists this ribosomal RNA (242 nucleotides) under uncultured Staphylococcus sp. Its description in RNAcentral is "partial 16S ribosomal RNA". It matches the Rfam family "Bacterial small subunit ribosomal RNA", at positions 102 to 334 of the family's 1533-position model. Lineage: Bacteria; Bacillati; Bacillota; Bacilli; Caryophanales; Staphylococcaceae. The record is from RNAcentral.
CGUGACGGGUGAGUAACACGUGGGUAACCUACCUAUAAGACUGGGAUAACUUCGGGAAACCGGAGCUAAUACCGGAUAAUAUAUUGAACCGCAUGGUUCAAUAGUGAAAGACGGUUUUGCUGUCACUUAUAGAUGGAUCCGCGCCGCAUUAGCUAGUUGGUAAGGUAACGGCUUACCAAGGCAACGAUGCGUAGCCGACCUGAGAGGGUGAUCGGCCACACUUGAACUGAGACACGGUCCAG